This 329-nucleotide unclassified non-coding RNA is filed under the name soil metagenome. Its description in RNAcentral is "partial contains 5.8S ribosomal RNA, internal transcribed spacer 2, and large subunit ribosomal RNA". The stretch from base 1 to 120 matches the Rfam family "5.8S ribosomal RNA", at positions 35 to 154 of the family's 154-position model. The record is from RNAcentral.
GAUGAAGAACGUAGCGAAAUGCGAUAAGUAAUGUGAAUUGCAGAAUUCAGUGAAUCAUCGAAUCUUUGAACGCUCAUUGCGCCCCCUGGUAUUCCGGGGGGCAUGCCUGUCCGAGCGUCAUUACAACCCUCAAGCUCAGCUUGGUGUUGGGCCCCGCCGCCCCGGCGGGCCCUAAAGUCAGUGGCGGUGCCGUCCGGCUCCGAGCGUAGUAAUUCUUCUCGCUCUGGAGGUCCGGUCGUGUGCUCGCCAGCAACCCCCAAUUUUUUUCAGGUUGACCUCGGAUCAGGUAGGGAUACCCGCUGAACUUAAGCAUAUCAAUAAGCGGAGGA